GGUCAAGUGAAGAAGCGCAUACGGUGGAUGCCUUGGCAGUCAGAGGCGAUGAAAGACGUGGUAGCCUGCGAAAAGCUUCGGGGAGUCGGCAAACAGACUUUGAUCCGGAGAUGUCUGAAUGGGGGAACCCAGCCAUCAUAAGAUGGUUAUCUUGUACUGAAUACAUAGGUGCAAGAGGCGAACCAGGGGAACUGAAACAUCUAAGUACCCUGAGGAAAAGAAAUCAACCGAGAUUCCCUUAGUAGUGGCGAGCGAACGGGGACUAGCCCUUAAGUGGCUUUGAGAUUAGCGGAACGCUCUGGAAAGUGCGGCCAUAGUGGGUGAUAGCCCUGUACGCGAAAAUCUCUUAGUCAUGAAAUCGAGUAGGACGGAGCACGAGAAACUUUGUCUGAAUAUGGGGGGACCAUCCUCCAAGGCUAAAUACUACUGACUGACCGAUAGUGAACUAGUACCGUGAGGGAAAGGCGAAAAGAACCCCGGAGAGGGGAGUGAAAUAGAUCCUGAAACCGUAUGCGUACAAGCAGUGGGAGCCUACUUUGUUAGGUGACUGCGUACCUUUUGUAUAAUGGGUCAGCGACUUAUUUUCAGUGGCGAGCUUAACCGAAUAGGGGAGGCGUAGCGAAAGCGAGUCUUAAUAGGGCGUCUAGUCGCUGGGAAUAGACCCGAAACCGGGCGAUCUAUCCAUGGGCAGGUUGAAGGUUGGGUAACACUAACUGGAGGACCGAACCGACUACCGUUGAAAAGUUAGCGGAUGACCUGUGGAUCGGAGUGAAAGGCUAAUCAAGCUCGGAGAUAGCUGGUUCUCCUCGAAAGCUAUUUAGGUAGCGCCUCAUGUAUCACUGUAGGGGGUAGAGCACUGUUUCGGCUAGGGGGUCAUCCCGACUUACCAAACCGAUGCAAACUCCGAAUACCUACAAGUGCCGAGCAUGGGAGACACACGGCGGGUGCUAACGUCCGUCGUGAAAAGGGAAACAACCCAGACCGUCAGCUAAGGUCCCAAAGUUAUGGUUAAGUGGGAAACGAUGUGGGAAGGCUUAGACAGCUAGGAGGUUGGCUUAGAAGCAGCCACCCUUUAAAGAAAGCGUAAUAGCUCACUAGUCGAGUCGGCCUGCGCGGAAGAUGUAACGGGGCUCAAACCAUACACCGAAGCUACGGGUAUCACGUAAGUGAUGCGGUAGAGGAGCGUUCUGUAAGCCUGUGAAGGUGAGUUGAGAAGCUUGCUGGAGGUAUCAGAAGUGCGAAUGCUGACAUGAGUAACGACAAUGGGUGUGAAAAACACCCACGCCGAAAGACCAAGGUUUCCUGCGCAACGUUAAUCGACGCAGGGUUAGUCGGUCCCUAAGGCGAGGCUGAAAAGCGUAGUCGAUGGAAAACAGGUUAAUAUUCCUGUACUUCUGGUUAUUGCGAUGGAGGGACGGAGAAGGCUAGGCCAGCUUGGCGUUGGUUGUCCAAGUUUAAGGUGGUAGGCUGAGAUCUUAGGUAAAUCCGGGAUCUUAAGGCCGAGAGCUGAUGACGAGUUAUCUUUUAGAUGACGAAGUGGUUGAUGCCAUGCUUCCAAGAAAAGCUUCUAAGCUUCAGGUAACCAGGAACCGUACCCCAAACCGACACAGGUGGUUGGGUAGAGAAUACCAAGGCGCUUGAGAGAACUCGGGUGAAGGAACUAGGCAAAAUGGCACCGUAACUUCGGGAGAAGGUGCGCCGGUGAGGGUGAAGGACUUGCUCCGUAAGCUCAUGCCGGUCGAAGAUACCAGGCCGCUGCGACUGUUUAUUAAAAACACAGCACUCUGCAAACACGAAAGUGGACGUAUAGGGUGUGACGCCUGCCCGGUGCCGGAAGGUUAAUUGAUGGGGUUAGCUAACGCGAAGCUCUUGAUCGAAGCCCCGGUAAACGGCGGCCGUAACUAUAACGGUCCUAAGGUAGCGAAAUUCCUUGUCGGGUAAGUUCCGACCUGCACGAAUGGCGUAACGAUGGCGGCGCUGUCUCCACCCGAGACUCAGUGAAAUUGAAAUCGCUGUGAAGAUGCAGUGUAUCCGCGGCUAGACGGAAAGACCCCGUGAACCUUUACUAUAGCUUUGCACUGGACUUUGAAUUUGCUUGUGUAGGAUAGGUGGGAGGCUUUGAAGCGUGGACGCCAGUUCGCGUGGAGCCAUCCUUGAAAUACCACCCUGGCAACUUUGAGGUUCUAACUCAGGUCCGUUAUCCGGAUCGAGGACAGUGUAUGGUGGGUAGUUUGACUGGGGCGGUCUCCUCCUAAAGAGUAACGGAGGAGUACGAAGGUGCGCUCAGACCGGUCGGAAAUCGGUCGUAGAGUAUAAAGGCAAAAGCGCGCUUGACUGCGAGACAGACACGUCGAGCAGGUACGAAAGUAGGUCUUAGUGAUCCGGUGGUUCUGUAUGGAAGGGCCAUCGCUCAACGGAUAAAAGGUACUCCGGGGAUAACAGGCUGAUACCGCCCAAGAGUUCAUAUCGACGGCGGUGUUUGGCACCUCGAUGUCGGCUCAUCACAUCCUGGGGCUGAAGCCGGUCCCAAGGGUAUGGCUGUUCGCCAUUUAAAGUGGUACGCGAGCUGGGUUUAGAACGUCGUGAGACAGUUCGGUCCCUAUCUGCCGUGGACGUUUGAGAUUUGAGAGGGGCUGCUCCUAGUACGAGAGGACCGGAGUGGACGAACCUCUGGUGUUCCGGUUGUCACGCCAGUGGCAUUGCCGGGUAGCUAUGUUCGGAAUAGAUAACCGCUGAAAGCAUCUAAGCGGGAAACUAGCCUCAAGAUGAGAUCUCACUGGAACCUUGAGUUCCCUGAAGGGCCGUCGAAGACUACGACGUUGAUAGGUUGGGUGUGUAAGCGCUGUGAGGCGUUGAGCUAACCAAUACUAAUUGCCCGUGAGGCUUGACCAU
Molecule: ribosomal RNA, 2892 nt
Filed under: Pseudomonas extremorientalis
Lineage: Bacteria; Pseudomonadati; Pseudomonadota; Gammaproteobacteria; Pseudomonadales; Pseudomonadaceae
Also listed under: 1 other name
Description: 23S ribosomal RNA
Rfam family: Bacterial large subunit ribosomal RNA
Source: RNAcentral